This 253-nucleotide ribosomal RNA is filed under the name uncultured bacterium. RNAcentral describes it as "partial 16S ribosomal RNA". It matches the Rfam family "Bacterial small subunit ribosomal RNA", at positions 524 to 776 of the family's 1533-position model. The record is from RNAcentral.
UACGUAGGGGGCAAGCGUUGUCCGGAUUUAUUGGGCGUAAAGAGCGUGUAGGCGGCCGUACAGGUCAGCUGUGAAAACUCGAGGCUCAACCUCGAGACGUCGGUUGAAACCGUACGGCUAGAGUCCGGAAGAGGAGAGUGGAAUUCCCGGUGUAGCGGUGAAAUGCGCAGAUAUCGGGAAGAACACCCGUGGCGAAGGCGGCUCUCUGGGCCAUUACUGACGCUGAGGAGCGAAAGCGUGGGGAGCGAACAGG